Molecule: ribosomal RNA, 253 nt
Filed under: uncultured bacterium
Lineage: Bacteria
Description: partial 16S ribosomal RNA
Rfam family: Bacterial small subunit ribosomal RNA
Source: RNAcentral
UACGUAGGGUGCAAGCGUUGUCCGGAUUCACUGGGUGUAAAGGGUGCGCAGGCGGAUUGGCAAGUCAGAGGUGAAAUCUCACGGCUCAACCGUGAAACUGCCUUUGAUACUGCUGAUCUUGAGUUAGGGAGAGGUUGAUGGAAUUCUAGGUGUAGCGGUGAAAUGCGUAGAUAUCUAGAAGAACACCAGUGGCGAAGGCGGCUAACUGGUCCGGUUCUGACGCUGAGGCGCGAAAGCGUGGGGAGCAAACAGG